RNAcentral lists this ribosomal RNA (468 nucleotides) under uncultured bacterium. Its description in RNAcentral is "partial 16S ribosomal RNA". It matches the Rfam family "Bacterial small subunit ribosomal RNA", at positions 28 to 507 of the family's 1533-position model. The record is from RNAcentral.
GACGAACGCUGGCGGCGUGCUUAACACAUGCAAGUCGAACGGAAAGGCCCUGCUUUUGUGGGGUGCUCGCGUGGCGAACGGGUGAGUAACAUGUGAGUAACCUGCCCUUGACUUUGGGAUAACUUCAGGAAACUGGGGCUAAUACCUGAUAGGAGCUCCCGCUGCAUGGUGGGGGUUGGAAAGUUUCGGCGGUUGGGGAUGGACUCGCGGCUUAUCAGCUUGUUGGUGGGGUAGUGGCUUACCAAGGCUUUGACGGGUAGCCGGCCUGAGAGGGUGACCGGCCACAUUGGGACUGAGAUACGGCCCAGACUCCUACGGGAGGCAGCAGUGGGGAAUAUUGCACAAUGGGCGGAAGCCUGAUGCAGAAACGCCGCGUGCGGGAUGACGGCCUUCGGGUUGUAAACCGCUUUAGCCUGUGACGAAGCGUGAGUGACGGUAAUGGGUAAAGAAGCACCGGCUAACUACGUG